RNAcentral lists this ribosomal RNA (1321 nucleotides) under Rickettsiales bacterium. Its description in RNAcentral is "bacterial SSU rRNA". It matches the Rfam family "Bacterial small subunit ribosomal RNA". Lineage: Bacteria; Pseudomonadati; Pseudomonadota; Alphaproteobacteria; Rickettsiales. The record is from RNAcentral.
GUAAGGGUAUGAUCCUGGCCCAGAAUGAGUGCUUGCAAGAGGCUUAAUACAUGCAAGUCGAACGCGCAUAAAGCGAGUGGCGAACGGGUGAGUAACGCGUAAGAAUCUACCUUCUAGAUAGCCAGAAAUAGGAAUAAAGGCCAAGUCCGCUAGAAGAUGAGCUUGCGUAAGAUUAGGUAGUUGGUGGAGUAAUGGUUCACCAAGCCAAAGAUCUUUAGCCGAUCUGAGAGGUUGAUCGGCCACACUGGGACUGAGACACGGCCCAGACUCAAUGAUAGAGGCAGCAGUAGGGAAUCUUAGACAAUGAGCGAAAGCUUGAUCUAGCUAUCUUGCGUGAAUGAUGCAAACCUUCGGGUAGUAAAAUUCUUUAGUUGAACAAAGGAUUAUGACAGAGUUCAGCCAAAAAGUCCCGGCUAACUUCGUGCCAGCAGCCGCGGUAAAACGGAGGGGACGAGUGCUAUUCGGAAUGACUGGGUGUAAAGCGUCCGCAGGUGGGCUUAUAAUUUCAAAGAUCCAUUCCAAAGAACUCCUUUGGGUUCUCUUUGAUAAGUAUAGGUCUUGAGUCAAAAAGAGGAAAGUGGAAUGUCAUGUGUAAGGAUUAAAUUUGCGAAUAUGUGAUGGAAGGCCGAAAGCGAAGGCAACUUUCUGGGUUUAGACUGACACUAAGGGACGAAAGCGUGGGUAGCAACAGGGAUUAGAUACCCCUCUAGUCCACGCUGUAAACGAUGAGUGUUCACUUUGGGUGCCAUGCAUCCGAGGUCAAGCAAACGCGUUAAACACUCCACCUGGGGAGUACGAUCGCAAGAUUGAAACUCAAGGGAAUUGACGGGGGCUUACACAAGUAGUGGAUCAUCUUAUUUAAUUCGAUAAUACGCGCAAAACCUUACCAACUCUUGACAUCUUUUUUUUCUUUUCCUUUGGAGGGAAAAGAUUAAUAAAAAGACAGGUGCUGCAUGGCUGUCGGCAGUUCGUGUUGUGAAAUGUUUGGUUAAAUCCUAUAACGAACGCAACCCCUUCGAAAUUUCUAAUUUGCUUUUUCGUAAUGCCCGUGAGAAGCGGGAGGAAGGAGGGGAUCACGUCAAGUCCUCAUGGCCCUCAUGAGUUGGGCUAUCAAGGUGAUACAAUGGCAACUACAAAGGGAUGCAAUGAUUCGAGUCGGAGCAAAUCCUAAAAAGUUGUCUUAGUCCGGAUUGGUCUCUGCAACUCGAGACCAUGAAGUUGGAAUUACUAGUAAUCGUGGAUCAGCACGCCACGGUGAAUCUGUUCUUAAGCUUUGUACACACCGCCCGUCACACCGGGGAAGUUGGGCUGAUCUAAAAAC